This 465-nucleotide ribosomal RNA is filed under the name uncultured bacterium. RNAcentral's name for it is "partial 16S ribosomal RNA". It matches the Rfam family "Bacterial small subunit ribosomal RNA", at positions 28 to 507 of the family's 1533-position model. The record is from RNAcentral.
GACGAACGCUGGCGGCGUGCUUAACACAUGCAAGUCGAACGGAAAGGCCCCUUCGGGGGUCCUCGAGUGGCGAACAGGUGAGUAACACGUGAGUAACCUGCCCUUGACUUCGGGAUAACUUCAGGAAACUGGGGCUAAUACCGGAUAGGAAUCCUUGCUGCAUGGUGGGGGUUGGAAAGCUUCGGCGGUUUUGGAUGGACUCGCGGCGUAUCAGCUUGUUGGUGGGGUAGUGGCUUACCAAGGCUUUGACGGGUAGCCGGCCUGAGAGGGCGACCGGCCACAUUGGGACUGAGAUACGGCCCAGACUCCUACGGGAGGCAGCAGUGGGGAAGAUUGCACAAGGGGCGGAAGCCUGAUGCAGCAACGCCGCGUGCGGGAUGACGGCCUUCGGGUUGUAAACCGCUUUCAGCAGGGGCGAAGCUUGUGGUGACGGUACCUGCAGAAGAAGCACCGGCUAACUACGUG